GCCUGGGUGGCUCAGUCGGUUAAGCGUCUGACUUCGGCUCAGGUCAUGAUCUCGUGGUUUGUGGGUUCGAGCCCCAUGUCGGGCU
Molecule: transfer RNA, 85 nt
Filed under: Felis catus (domestic cat)
Lineage: Eukaryota; Metazoa; Chordata; Mammalia; Carnivora; Felidae
Rfam family: tRNA
About the family: Transfer RNA (tRNA) molecules are approximately 80 nucleotides in length. Their secondary structure includes four short double-helical elements and three loops (D, anti-codon, and T loops).
Source: Rfam by way of RNAcentral